UCGGACACAUUUUAUCUUGUGCAUUCUAUCAUGACGGGUUUCUUCUUAUAUAAGUCAAAUUUUCUCGACUUAGGCACAUCGGAUAUAUUUUGUUUUGUGCCACCAACCGUGGUAGUUUUCUUCUUACGCUUGUUAGGUUUUCCCGACAGGUGUCCGAGGCACAUUUUGUUUUAGACCUCCCAUUGUGACGGAUUUUUUUCUUACACAGAUCUGAUUUUCCCAAUACAC
RNAcentral lists this long non-coding RNA (228 nucleotides) under Musa acuminata (dwarf banana). RNAcentral's name for it is "long non-coding RNA (MACU_LNC005521)". The record is from RNAcentral. Lineage: Eukaryota; Viridiplantae; Streptophyta; Magnoliopsida; Zingiberales; Musaceae.